RNAcentral lists this long non-coding RNA (10405 nucleotides) under Ananas comosus (pineapple). RNAcentral's name for it is "long non-coding RNA (ACOM_LNC029806)". The record is from RNAcentral. Lineage: Eukaryota; Viridiplantae; Streptophyta; Magnoliopsida; Poales; Bromeliaceae.
UAUCCCGCUAAACUUGCUAAAGUAAACAAAAGUCGACGCAGAAUCAUCGACCGGACAAAGACUUCGAACGAGCCUAAAUGGCUUGACUGAUCGCUAAAGGUAGCGGGUUGGAGCCGACGUGGCUAAGCUGAACUUGGUGAGGAGGGAGGUGACAUUGGAUCGAGAGCUCUUCGAAGAUCUUCUUGAGCUCGAGGACGAGAUCCGAUCGCCUGCCGUUCUUCUCGCUGAUGUUUUGGAAGUUGAUGGUGUGCUGAACAUACAAAGCCAUGUUCAUCUUGUUAACAUUCACAAUGUCCUUCACCACUAUGCUGUGGUUCGGCUGCCAAUGGGUGGGCUUACUCUCGAUAUAACUGAGAGACCACACAGAACCCUAUUAGUCGGCAAAUGUACGAAAAAUCAAAUGGGGCCUAAUCGCUUCCUAGUUCUUACUUGAAAGCGACAAACAAGGUGAUUAAAAUUUUGAAUUAAAAAACAAAGAAUCAAUGAGGAACUUACGCUUUUAUUUUGGAUUUCAGAGUCGCAAUGCUUUCCACAGAAGUCGAAAUGUCGACGGCGAAUCCAACGGAAUCGCUCAUAUUCGGGCUCCGGUAGAAGUUGCUGAUUGGUUUUGUCGACAAGACAGCAUUCGGAUAAUAUAUCUUCUCGUUGUCGUAUCUCAGAAAAACGGUCGUCAGAAUAUUCAUUUCUUCCACAGUCAUCUGUCGAUUUAAAUUAGUUCAUAGAAAUAUUAGAUCAUAGAACACUUUUUCCUUGUAUGUAUAUAUAUAUAUAUAUAAAAUCUUGUAUAUAUAGAAAAAAAAAAAUGCCAUCAUAUAUGAUUGUUUUUGAUAUUAACCUCACUUUUAUGGAGUAUAUACUACAAUAGGAUGUUUCAGGGCGAUGGAUAUACAUAUAUAUGAUAUUGCAGCAGGGACAUAUACAUAAGGUGCAAAAGUUGUAAUAAAGUCAAAAUAUUUACCUGUACUCCAUCAACGACGCAACGAUCGCCGACAUCGAAAGGGUGCAUAAUGAAGACGAAAAUGAUGGCUUCAAAUGUAGUCUUGCAUGUGUUUCCGAACAUGAAAACAACCACCAAAAGCUGGGACGAAAUGACGACGAUAACUUGGGUAGUUGCAAUGCCCAUCAUAAGAAGCAUAACAAUUAUAAUCACAAUAACAACAAUGAUGGUCGUUAGCUUGUGCAGUUGUCUGACUGCGGUUUUAGUGUCGUUUAGGGAAUGUGCAAGGGACUUCCGAUCGAGGUAGGCCUUCACCUGGAAACAUGGUCACAAAAAUUAAGCUAUUUACUCACAGCAAGCAAAAGAGCAUGUCCUUGAAGCAACUUUGAGGUUCUAUUAGCAUUUGGCAUCCCUUUACCUAAUUUCUGACUUCAUUAAAUUUGUCAGAGCACAUAUUUGAACCGAAUUAUCUUAAUAGUUUUCAACUAAAUGACAAAAGAGAGAAAGAAAUCAAAGGAAAAUACGGUGCUGCAGCGGCAACAACAAGGAACUAUCUAAUAGAAUUUGAAGUUUACAGAAUUUACCACCCAGUUCUUCAAUGCUGACUUCUUGAUCUUUCUUGUCUCAGCAGCUCCUUCAAACAUCGGAAGCACGGAUUCCACUUCCUCCUUGCUCAAAAAUCUCAUAAGAUCCUCUUCAUCUAUGUACCUAAGUACCCAAGAAGAAGAGGAAACACAUCAGGAGAGAUCAAAAAAAAAAAAGGCAAAGAGAUAUAAAGAAGGCAAUUGGAUUUUAAGAUCCAUCACUUGUGAUCAGGCUUGGCGACAUUUUUAAAAAUCCGGUAAGCCGCGGCCUUCGCUUCCCACUCACUAUUAAUCUCCCUAUCUUUCUGUUUCCAGCCUUCCUCGUCAAAGUUUUCGAUUGUGUUCGAGAUUGUAGUGAGCUCUGUAAAGUAUAAAUUCAGAAUUCAAGAUCAUAAUAUCAAAGCAGGAUGUCCUAUGUUCAAGCGCUUAAUUCAGAAUUCACAUCUUGGGCCAGCAGGAAGUCUCGAAAGCAGGCAUAAGGGGAGCAGUUAAUAUAAAUUAUCAAGAAUAACAUUCUCAAACAGCUUGAGCAUUUACAGAAGUUAGUUCUUUCACGACCUGAAGUCCUGAUCACAUUGAUUAGUCCCCUCAUUGUCCAAGCCGAGACCUUCUCCUGAUCCAUCUUAUGAAGCUUCCCGACAUCAAUCACUGCUUGUUCUUCCCCUCCUUUAGCCUUCCCCUUCCCGGUGCUCCGAAAGCUUAACUGCCCUGUGCUCUUCUCUCUCCCUACCUUCUCCGCCAUCUCCAUCAACGGCGGCCCGGAGAGCGCCUGCAGCAGGUACUGAUGGAAAAUUGACUCUUGGAUCCGAUCGAAAAACUUGGUCAUGUGGAAAGAAGAAGCUAAUAUCUUCAUGCCGAGGGUUUUCGCGAGCCAUAUUACCUAUCGAAUAUAAAACAUUACUCAUCAUUCUCUACCGGCUUAAACUUUUAGUUGAAAUUCAGAAAAUAUCAUAGCAAGAAGCCCUAAGCUCAAAUCUUCUAUUAGAAGUCCUUAAGCAUAGACACGAGGAGGAAUAUUAAAUAAGGGUAAAUUACACUUUUGGUCCUCAAAUUAUGGGGUGAGUGAUACUUUGGUCCUUAAUCUUUAAUUUGUUGUAAUUUUUGACAUGAACUUCUGAAUUAUUGCAAUCAAUUUCUGCAGUCCAAUUUAGUUAGCUGAAUAUUGAUAAAUUAUUGAUGCAGAAUUGAUAUAACAUCUUAACUUCUGCAUCAGCAAUUUGUCAACAUUUAGCCAACUAAAUUGAAUUGUAGAAAUUGAUUGCAAUAAUUCAGAAGUUCAUGUCAAAAAUUACAACAAAUUAAAGAUUAAGGACCAAAGUAUCACUCACCCCAUAAUUUGAGGACCCAAAGUGUAAUUUAUCCUAUUAAAUAUUAAAGAGAAAAAUGUGUAGACCUUACCGAAACUUGAUUAAAACAUUUUGAUUUUACUACCCUACCUUAUAAUAUUUUUAAAAAUUCGAAAGUUUUAAUCGUACUACCUAAUAUACGCAGUAUUAAUGACAUUUUGAUGGAAUAUUCUAUAGCCAAACGGAAUAUUCUGUCAAAAAUUUUACAAUUUGUCUAAGUUUGGAUAGUAAAAUAAAAAAUUUUGAACUCAUGUUAUGUAGUAAAACUUUAACUUUUGAAGUUGCAGGUAUAUAUUUCAAAAUAAGUUACAGUUCAGGUAAGAUCUAUAUAUCUCUCUAGUAGCUUAGAAUGUGGAGAUUAAAACCCACGAACUCACAUUCAGAAAGGGGUUUAUAAUUGACUCGAAUACCAUGUUAUCUGAAAGAUCGAUCCAGUAGAAAACAUGCACGGAAAUAUAUAUUAACAAUUUCACAGUUACCGAUCCGAUCAGGAGCGACGCGAGAAAGCGGGAGACGUAAUUGAGGAUCUUCGUCAUCUUCUUCGACCUCUCGAGCCCUUGAUUGAAGAGAAGGGACCAGGAAAGGAGCACAAGCCCCAGCCAAAUGCAAGCUCGCACACUAUCCUUCAACCCGUAGACGAAGUAGAGCACCUUCUUCUUCAAAAGGAAGUUCCUUUCGAUCAUGAAGACGAGCAAAUCGAUGAGCCACUGCGUCACCAAACCCCCGCAGCCGAUCACCGUCACCAUCAAGCACCAUUUCCAAAUCUCCAAGCCCCAGAUCACGGAUCCCUGGAGCUUGCGCACGGUUAAGCUCGCGAUGAGGCACCCCAUGGCGAGGAUCAGGAUCGCCCACUCGACCAGAGCCCCGAGUCUCCACCGCCGACGCCGAUUCGCCUUCGCGUUGAUAUGCUGCUCCUUCUUGUAGAUCUCCUCGUCCUCCUCUUCCUCGUCGUCCGCGUCGAGUAACGGCGUUUUGGGGGUGCCCAGGGACGCCCUAGGGUUUGGGGAGGUCGAGCUCGGGGUCGGGGCCGCCGCCGCCGCGGAGGAGUGGGGAGGGUGCUCGACGAAGCGGGAUUUGGGCUUGGAGAUGGAUCUGCAGCGGAUUAGGGUUUCGGGAUUGGGGGUUCGUGGGAGCUUCCUAGGGCUCGGCGCCUUGGCGAUCUCCGGGGAGGGGUUUCCGACGCGCGGGGGCGAUGAUUUCGGCGCCGAAUCCUCGAAACCUUCGACAUUCGCAGAAGAAGUCGGCGCCGACUUUGCUGCUGCUGCUGCUGCUGCUGCGCCGGUUUGGAUUACGACGACGACUUCGCCUUGCUUUCGAUCAAUGCUCCUCUCUUUGUGAGCAUCGUCGUCCAUGGCCAACGAAGAGACAAAAAUACNAAUUAUCUUAAUAGUUUUCAACUAAAUGACAAAAGAGAGAAAGAAAUCAAAGGAAAAUACGGUGCUGCAGCGGCAACAACAAGGAACUAUCUAAUAGAAUUUGAAGUUUACAGAAUUUACCACCCAGUUCUUCAAUGCUGACUUCUUGAUCUUUCUUGUCUCAGCAGCUCCUUCAAACAUCGGAAGCACGGAUUCCACUUCCUCCUUGCUCAAAAAUCUCAUAAGAUCCUCUUCAUCUAUGUACCUAAGUACCCAAGAAGAAGAGGAAACACAUCAGGAGAGAUCAAAAAAAAAUAAGGCAAAGAGAUAUAAAGAAGAAGGCAAUUGGAUUUUGAGAUCCAUCACUUGUGAUCAGGCUUGGCGACAUUUUUAAAAAUCCGGUAAGCCGCAGCCUUCGCUUCCCACUCACUAUUAAUCUCCCUAUCCUUCUGUUCCCAGCCUUCCUCGCCAAAGUUUUCGAUUGUGUUCGAGAUUGUAGUGAGCUCUGUAAAGUAUAAAUUAUCAUAAGACCAUAAUAUCAAAGCAGGAUGUCCUAUGUUCAAGCACUUAAUUCAGAAUUCACAUUUUGGGCCAGCAGGAAGUCUCGAACGCAGGCAUAAGGGGAGCAGUUAAUAUAAAUUAUCAAGAAUAACAUUCUCAAACAGCUUGAGCAUUUACAGAAGUUAGUUCUUUCACGACCUGAAGUCCUGAUCACAUUGAUUAGGCCCUUCAUUGUCCAAGCCGAGACCUUCUCCUGAUCCAUCUUAUGAAGCUUCCCGACAUCAAUCACUGCUUGUUCUUCCCCUCCUUUAGCCUUCCCCUUCCUGGUGCUCCGAAAGCUUAACUGCCCUGUGCUCUUCUCUCUCCCUACCUUCUCCGCCAUCUCCAUCAACGGCAGCCCGGAGAGCGCCUGCAGCACGUACUGAUGGAAAAUUGACUCUUGGAUCCGAUCGAAAAACUUGGUCAUGUGGAAAGAAGAAGCUAAUAUCUUCAUGCCAAGGGUUUUCGCGAGCCAUAUUACCUAUCGGAUAUAAAACAUUAAUCAUCAUUCUCUACAACUUAAACUUUUAGCCGAAACAUAAAACUCACAACAUAUAAGAGCAAGAAGCCCUAAGCUCAAGUCUCCUAUUAGAAGUCUUAACCACAGACAUGAGGAGGAAUAUUAAAUAGUGUAAAUUAAGCUUUUGCUCUUCAAAACUAUUGGGCGCGUGACACUUUGGUCCUUAAACUUUAAUUUUUUGUAAUUUUUGCCUCAAACUUUCUAAAUUAUUGCAAUCACCUCCUACAAUUCAAUUUAGUUGGCUAAAUGUUGACAAAUUGUUGAUGUAGUAGUGAUGUAAAAAUAUUAUGAUCGAUGAUGCGAGAAUAGUUAAGAUGCUAUAUCACUUAUGCACAAAUAAUUUGUCAAUAUUUAACUAACUAAAUUGGACUACAGAAAUUGAAUGCAAUAAUUUAGAAAGUUCGUAUCAAAAAUUACAACAAAUUAAAGAUUUAAGGACUAAAGUGUCCCGUGCCCCAUAGUUUGAGGACCAAAAGUGUAAUUUAUCCUAUUAAAUAUUAAAGGUAAAAAUGUGUAGACCUUACCGAAACUAUAGUGCAUCUUGAUUAAAACAUUUUGAUUUUACUAUCUGAACUUAUAAUAUUUUAAAAAAUCGUAUAACUUUUAAUUAUACUACCAAAUAUUCGCUGUACUAAUGACACAUUGAUGGAAUAUUCUGUAGCCAAACAGAAAAUUCUGCAAAAUUUUUUACAAAUUGUCUAAGUUUGGAUAGUAAAAUUAAAAUUUUUAAAUUCAUGUUAUGCAGUAAAUACUUUUAACUUUUAACUUUUGAAGUUAUGAGCAUAUAUUUCAAAAUAAGUUAUAGUUCAUAGUUCAGGUAAGAUCUAUAUAUUCUCUAACAACUUAAGCUUUUAGACAAAGCAAUCAAAUAAUAACCUGUUAAAUGUUGAAUAUAUGUGGGUAUUGAACUCCACGACCUCACAUACCCAAGGGGUUUAGAAUUGGCUCGGAUACCAUGUUAUCUAAAAGAUCGAUCUAGUAGGAAACAUGUACGGAAAUAUAUAUUAACAAUUUCACAGUUACCGAUCCGAUCAGGAGCGAUGCGAGAAAGCGGGAGACGUAAUUGAGGAUCUUCGUCGUCUUCUUCGACCUCUCGAGCCCUCCAUUGAAGAGAAGGAACCAGGAAAGGAGCACAAGCCCUAGCCAAAUGCAAGCUCGCACACUAUCCUUCAACCCGUAGACGAAGUAGAGCACCUUCUUCUUCAAAAGGAAGUUCCUUUCGAUCAUGAAGACGAGCAAAUUGAUGAGCCACUGCGUCACCAACCCCCCGCAGCCGAUCACCGUCACCAUCAAGCACCAUUUCCAAAUCUCCAAGCCCCAGAUCACGGAUCCCUGGAGCUUGCGCACGGUUAAGCUCGCGAUGAGGCACCCCAUGGCGAGGAUCAGGAUCGCCCACUCGACCAGAGCCCCGAGUCUCCACCGCCGACGCCGAUUCGCCUUCGCGUUGAUAUGCUGCUCCUUCUUGUAGAUCUCCUCGUCCUCCUCUUCCUCGUCGUCCGCGUCGAGGAACGGCGUUUUGGGGGUGCCCAGGGACGCCCUAGGGUUUGGGGAGGUCGAGCUCGGGGUCGGGGCCGCCGCCGCCGCGGAGGAGUGGGGAGGGUGCUCGACGAAGCGGGAUUUGGGCUUGGAGAUGGAUCUGCAGCGGAUUAGGGUUUCGGGAUUGGGGGUUCGUGGGAGCUUCCUAGGGCUCGGCGCCUUGGCGAUCUCCGGGGAGGGGUUUCCGACGCGCGGGGGCGAUGAUUUCGGCGCCGAAUCCUCGAAACCUUCGACAUUCGCAGAAGAAGUCGGCGCCGACUUUGCUGCUGCUGCUGCUGCUGCGCCGGUUUGGAUUACGACGACGACUUCGCCUUGCUUUCGCUCAAUGCUCCUCUCUUUGUGAGUAUCAUCAUCGUCCAUGGCCAAUGAAGAGACAAAAAAAACCCAAAAAAAAAAAAAAAAUCCUUGAGAAGCGCUUCUGAGUGAAGCAGUAGUAGAUUUUUUUUUUAGAGAAGUGCUUCUAAAUUGUGCGUGGGAGUGCGAGAGAAAAAAAAAAAAGAAAAAAAAGAAAAAAAAAAAGUAGCCGUUAAGGAAUUUAAAAAAUGGAUUUUGCCUUUUUAACAAUGCGCACGAAAUCGGAGAAAGGGGUACGCGAUGGAUCGCGAACAAUGCGGGUAUCGCUUGUGAUUCCGCCACGUGUCAAAAUACGUGGUUUCGUAGGAGGAAAAUGGUGGUUGGUGUUCGCGAGCGAACAGGAAAAGUUAUCUACGGAAAGUUGGGCGAGGUACGGAGUGCAAUGGUGAUGUCGACUAGUGCUAGCCCGGGAGCCGACAUAAACUCGGAACUGGAACCUCCUCCCGUUGGAAAAAUUUUAGAAUGCAACGUUUAUAUUGAUGACGUGACGUAAUAAAUUAAUUAAAUAUUUUUUUAAAAAUAUAUGUUUAAUUAUGAUUAUAAAAAAAUAUUUUUAUUGUAUUUUUAUUUGAAAAGAAGAAAUGCGAUUGACUUGUUAUUGAUGACGUGAUACAAGUAUGAUAGUGUAGAAUUCCUCCCUCCGUUGAUCUGUGCGAUCGAUCUUUGUGCUGGAUCUAUCUUAGCCGUUCAAUAUAUACGAAAAUUAACAUGCAUAAAAAUUUAGUUGAGUUGUGGUAAUGGUGUCCGAGUUGAGUUAGAAUACUCUCAAAAGUACCAUAAAGGUAGUGCUUUGGGCCCUGCUUGGUUCGGAGGAUAAGUGAGGAUAACGAAAGUUAUCCCCGCUAUUCCGCCAAACGGGGUGAAAUUUGGUCGGAAUAUUUUAUUCCGGUCAAACCUUUCUAUUUCCGGUUAUUUCGGAAUAACAAGUGAUUUGCUAUUCCACCAUUUUGGUGGAAUAGUACUAUUCCAAUGCUUAAUUUCAAACGUAAUUUAAAUUAUAAAUUGAAUUAAAACUUAAUUAUAUAAAUAUUAUAUGUUAUAUAAUAUAAUAUAUUAUUUUUAUUAUAAAAUUAUUAAUUGUACUAUAUUAAUACAUAUUAUUUAUAUUUAAAUAUUAUAAUAAAUUAUAUUUUAAUAUUAUAAAAUUUAAAGUUUAAAAUUUAAAAAUUAAAAUUUUAAUUUAAAAAUAUAAAUUUAAAAUUUUAAAAAUUCAAAUUCAAAUAUAAUAAGAGGGUAAUAUCAUUAUUUUUUUAUUUAUAAAAACCCACUUUCUUUCUUGUUUCAUCUUACCUAACCAAGCGCUAUGUUUUUUAUUCCCAGAAAUAAUCCAAUUUUUAUCCAAACGUAAAAUUGAUCUAAUCCCCGCUUCUACCUCAAUUUAUAUCUAUUUCUGGAAUAGCCACUUUUUGCUUAUCCUCGAACCAAACGAUAUCUUUGAGUUUUUAGCGAUUAGAUGAAGAGAUAUGAGAUUGAGAUGAUAGUGAUAGGUAGUAAUAGAUGGAAUAGUGUUUGAUCCAAAGGCUAUUAGUAAUCAAGGAGUAGAUUCAAGGACUAGAAACUUAGAACCACUAAGGGUGCUUUUAAAAGUAUUAUUCUAGCUCAAUUCGAUGGUGUCCAACCUUUAUCCAAAUUUUUAUUCUCGUCCCCCCCCUUUUUUUUUUCUCUUCCUUUUAAUAUUUUUUAAAAAUAAUAUACUACUCAUUUUGAUUAUUUUUUAAAAAUAUAGCUGCAGCUAUUAAGUGCUUUGCCACUUAUGCUAGUAAUGACCGAUAAUUUUUCUUUUAAUAAGAUUCUUAACCUUCGUAGGAUUAGUUGCUCUGUCAAUUUUUAACUUCUCUUUUAUGAGUUAAAUAGAGCUUUAUUAGAAUUGACAUGGUUUAUUUUAUUGAAGUUAAUAGAAAUUGAGACGAUUGAGACUUGAUUACGGAAAAAAAAAAAAAAUGAUAUCAAAAAAUAUAUAUAGGCCAAAUUAAAAAUACUAAUAAUAAUAAUAACAAAGAAUAAAAGAUAAAUGUUGGGAUAUUGAUACAGCUAUCCUUUUUUCGUCUGCUGGACACUCUUUAGAAUAAAGAAAUACUGCUGGUACACCUUUGGAGCAGGUGAUCUUAUAUUUCAGUCAUCUAAAAUAAUUAAGUAAAAAUUUAUUAUUUCAGAGAUAAAGUUAAAUUCAGAAUUAAGGUAGAAUUAAAAUAAUUUUGUAUUUGGUUGAGAAUUAAAUUUAGUCCAAGUAUAAAUAAAAUAGUAUUUAAUUAGAAUAGAUGGGAUAAGAAAGAUAGUGGAUAAAUUAGUAUUUUGUUUGGUUAGAAUAGUGAAGUAGAAUUAGCUAACCCCACCUCCCAAAUUAGGUGUUUAAAAAUAACUUCGGAGUUAAGAAGUUAUUCGACCCCUUAAACCCCGAACCAAACGGAUGCUUACCUAUUAGUUUCAUUUCCUUUUCAUGGCAAAAAAAAAUUAUGUAAAUAUUUAUGAACCGGACGGAGGUACAAAAUUUAUACUUAUGUAUUAACGUACAAGCAGCGUUUUCUUUUUCAAGAAGUGAAUAUACUUUGUACUUUGUACCUCCGUCCAAAGCAGAAGGAUGGUGGAGAGCGCAACUUCAAUGGGGAGCCUCUUCAACAAGAUCUCGUUGAGAUAAUUUGGUGAGCCCGUCUGAUUCACCCCGCGCCUGAAUCUUAAAUGUUUGGUUCUAAUCUAAAAGUUUUAACCCCCGAUCCUUAAUACUGGAUUAAUCAGCAAAUUUAAAAGAUGUCCAGUAAGCUGGAAUGAGGAGCUCCUCAUCCAAGCAUUUUCCGCCGGUGUAUGUGACCGUCUCAAGUUCCCCAACCACUACCGCGCUAAACAUCAAUGGGGAGGCUCAAUUUUACAGCAAUAUCCCGCUAAACUUGCUUAAGUAAACAAAAGUCGACGCAGAAUCCUCGACCAGACAAAGACUUCGAACGAGCCUAAAUGGCUUGACUGAUCGCUAAAGGUAGCGGGUUGGAGCCGACGUAGCUAAGCUGAACUUGGUGGGGCGGGAGGUGAUACUGGAUCGAGAGCUCUUCGAAGAUCUUCUUGAGCUCGAGGACGAGCUCCGAUCGCCUGCCGUUCUUCUCGCUGAUGUUUUGGAAGUUGAUGGUGUGCUGAACAUACAAAGCCAUGUUCAUCUUGUUCACAUUCACAAUGUCCUUCACCACUAUGCUGUGGUUCGGCUGCCAAUGGGUGGGCUUACUCUCGAUAUAACUGAGAGACCACAC